Molecule: ribosomal RNA, 865 nt
Filed under: Staphylococcus aureus
Lineage: Bacteria; Bacillati; Bacillota; Bacilli; Caryophanales; Staphylococcaceae
Description: partial 23S ribosomal RNA
Rfam family: Bacterial large subunit ribosomal RNA
Source: RNAcentral
CUGGGAGGACCAUCUCCUAAGGCUAAAUACUCUCUAGUGACCGAUAGUGAACCAGUACCGUGAGGGAAAGGUGAAAAGCACCCCGGAAGGGGAGUGAAAUAGAACCUGAAACCGUGUGCUUACAAGUAGUCAGAGCCCGUUAAUGGGUGAUGGCGUGCCUUUUGUAGAAUGAACCGGCGAGUUACGAUUUGAUGCAAGGUUAAGCAGUAAAUGUGGAGCCGUAGCGAAAGCGAGUCUGAAUAGGGCGUUUAGUAUUUGGUCGUAGACCCGAAACCAGGUGAUCUACCCUUGGUCAGGUUGAAGUUCAGGUAACACUGAAUGGAGGACCGAACCGACUUACGUUGAAAAGUGAGCGGAUGAACUGAGGGUAGCGGAGAAAUUCCAAUCGAACCUGGAGAUAGCUGGUUCUCUCCGAAAUAGCUUUAGGGCUAGCCUCAAGUGAUGAUUAUUGGAGGUAGAGCACUGUUUGGACGAGGGGCCCCUCUCGGGUUACCGAAUUCAGACAAACUCCGAAUGCCAAUUAAUUUAACUUGGGAGUCAGAACAUGGGUGAUAAGGUCCAUGUUCGAAAGGGAAACAGCCCAGACCACCAGCUAAGGUCCCAAAAUAUAUGUUAAGUGGAAAAGGAUGUGGCGUUGCCCAGACAACUAGGAUGUUGGCUUAGAAGCAGCCAUCAUUUAAAGAGUGCGUAAUAGCUCACUAGUCGAGUGACACUGCGCCGAAAAUGUACCGGGGCUAAACAUAUUACCGAAGCUGUGGAUUGUCCUUUGGACAAUGGUAGGAGAGCGUUCUAAGGGCGUUGAAGCAUGAUCGUAAGGACAUGUGGAGCGCUUAGAAGUGAGAAUGCCGGUGUGAGUAGCGAAAGA